GAUGAACGCUGGCGGCGUGCCUAAUACAUGCAAGUCGAGCGAACAACCGAAGAUCUUGCUCCUCUGACCUUAGCGUCGUACGAGUGAGUAGCACGUGGGUAACCUACCUAUAAGACUGGGAUAACUUCGGGAAACCGAAGCUAAUACAGGGUAAUAUAUUGAACCACAUGCUUCAAUAAUCAAAUACGGUUUUGCUAUCACUUAUAGAUGGAUCCGCGCCGCAUUAGCUAGUUGGUAAGGUAACGGCUUAACAAGGCCACCAUGCGUAGCCGACAUGAGCGCGUGAUUGGCUAGACGAGAACUGAGAGAGGGUGCCGACACCGACGGGAGGCAGCAGUAGGGAAUCUUCCGCAAUGGGCGAAAGGCGGACGGAGCAACGCCGCGGGAGUGAUGAAGGUCUGAGGAUCGUAAAACUAUGUUAUUAGGGAAGAUCAAAUGUGUAAGUAACUAUGCACGUCUUGACGGUACCUAAUCAGAAAGCAACGGCUAAAUACGUG
RNAcentral lists this ribosomal RNA (497 nucleotides) under uncultured bacterium. RNAcentral's name for it is "partial 16S ribosomal RNA". It matches the Rfam family "Bacterial small subunit ribosomal RNA", at positions 28 to 507 of the family's 1533-position model. The record is from RNAcentral.